AUACGAACCGUACGAACGUUAUUCGGAAUCACUGGGCUUAAAGAGUGCGUAGGCGGCCUGGCAAGUUGGGUGUGAAAUCCCUCGGCUCAACCGAGGAAUUGCGCUCAAAACUGCUAGGCUUGAGAGAGAUAGAGGUGAGCGGAACUAAUGGUGGAGCGGUGAAAUGCGUUGAUAUCAUUAGGAACACCUGUGGCGAAAGCGGCUCACUGGGUCUCAUCUGACGCUGAGGCACGAAAGCUAGGGGAGCGAACGGGAUUAGAUACCCCGGUAGUCCUAGCUGUAAACGAUGAGCACUGGGUCGAGGGGGAUUCCACACCUUCUCGGCCGUAGCGAAAGUGUUAAGUGCUCCGCCUGGGGAGUAUGGUCGCAAGGCUGAA
RNAcentral lists this ribosomal RNA (377 nucleotides) under uncultured bacterium. Its description in RNAcentral is "bacterial SSU rRNA". It matches the Rfam family "Bacterial small subunit ribosomal RNA", at positions 523 to 898 of the family's 1533-position model. The record is from RNAcentral.